RNAcentral lists this long non-coding RNA (3982 nucleotides) under Sus scrofa (pig). Its description in RNAcentral is "lncRNA (ENSSSCG00045027362.1)". Lineage: Eukaryota; Metazoa; Chordata; Mammalia; Artiodactyla; Suidae. The record is from RNAcentral.
UCUUUUUUUUUUUUUUUUUUUUUUUUUUUUUUAAAUAAAUUAGCCAGUGUAUUUUCCCUAAGGUUAAAUGAAAUUUUUUCUGUCUCCUCUCCCGUCCCUGUUGAAAGUGGCCGUGGUGUGUCCUUGUUUGGUCAGCUGUGUCCCUUAACUUUCUCAAAUCUCUUUAGCCCCUUCUGCCCCAUGCUGGAAAUUGUGUGCCUGCCUUUUUAAAAGGUAGGCACCUCAUGUUUCCAGUUCAAGUGCAGUGGAACUCACCCUGCAGCUUGAACAGAUUUGAGUGUUUUUGCAGAGGGAGGGCCGGGGCAGAUGGGGAGUGUCGUGCUCAAUAAAUACUUGUUGGAUGGAGUUGCUGGAAAGGCAGCAGGGGUGGGGAGAGUGAGCCACACUUCCCCAGGCGCACUGCACAUGGCUUUUCCCACUCCUGGUCCGCACACACUGUGCCCCCUUUAUAACACCUUUCAUUAGCUACUUACAAGGCACCCCUACCCCCCACCCCUCCCGAAGUGUGAGUGUUCCCUCUCUUCAAAUCACUGGGCUCCCAUUCAUCCUGGUCAUUGGGCUCAAAGCCCAGCGGGUGGCAAAGACGUGGCAUUUCCAUGGCUGUCUGCUAGGCCUGUAGGUUCUCUUCCCCACACACUUAAAGCCAGAGGGUGAGCCUGGGCGGGUAGUUACCAGGUUGAUCCAUGGAAACAGCCAGUGUCGAGGAUUUUGUUGUGAUUUUGUAAAAGAGCCGGAAGACCUGGCUUUAGGCUUAGACGGGGAUAUGGGUGAGAGGCCAAGGAGCCCGAGAUGAACACGGGAUGUCCUUUUGGCUCCAGGUGGAUUUGCACCAGAUUCCCAGUUGUGCUAGAAAGGAAAGCAGGAGACCAAAAUCUGAAGUAGCGACGUUUUUGGGGCUGGGGAGCAGAAUGGUCUGUUGGCCCGAGGGUGGCUUCAGAGGUGUGUGAUCAGGCAGGAAGCCAGGCACCACCCUUUCUCCUUUCCCUACCAAAUGGGGGAAAUGCUGGAAAGACACUGUCACGGUCAUUCUCCAAGCCCUACAUUGUCGUCCAUGGAGCCUGGGCUCCCCUGCCCUUCAAGCUGCCAACUGCGGGCCUUUGGCUUAGCCAAAACGGUUUUAGCAACCUACCCGGCUGGGGGGGUCAAAUAGGAGCCUACACCAGAGCCACAGCAACACAGGAUGCGAGCUGCAUCCGUGACCUACACCACAGCUCACAGCAACGCCGGAUCCUUAACCUACUGAGCAAGGUCAGGGUCGAACCCGCAACCUCGUGGUUCGCAGUCGGAUUCGUUAACCACUGCACCAUGACGGGAACUCCAAGGUUUGUUUGUUUUUGUCUUUGUUUUUGCUUUUGCUUUUUAGGGCCGCACCCACAGCAUAUGGAAGUUCCCAAGCUAGGAGUCCAAUCAGAGCUGUAGCUGCCAGCCUACACCACAGCCACAGCAAUGCAGGAUCCGAGCCGCAUCUGUGACUUACACCACAGCUCAGGGCCACCCCAGAUCCUUAACUCACUGAGCGAGGCCAGGUCUGGAUAGUGUGGUUUUGACAACAUGUUCCAUGUGUUUAGCUCUUUGUUGCUCGCAGUUGGUACCCUCAAACCUUUCUUGUCUAUUGUCACAACCGUCCUGCAGGUGCAGGUGGCAUUUGUUUUUGCAGAUAAGGAAACUGAGGCCCCGAGAGGAAGUGACUUGCCCAAGAUCUUAUGACUAAUAAAGCCCUUCUUCCUGAUCCAAGGCUCUUCCCACUUCUGUGCGGAGAGCUCGUGGUAAAUUUCCUUCCAGCCUGGCAUCCUCUGCUGCCUGCCCGGCACAUGCCCAGCCUGUUUCCCUUCUGCUUGUAUACCUGUAUUCCAGGGGCAAAAAUUUAUUUGUUUCACUGGUCAAAAGACAAUUGAAGAGGAAAGUGGACAGCAAGGAAGUCCCUUUGGCACCCCAUAAGUAACUGUCCACUUGGUUUGGCUGAGGGAGGGUGAUGGCUGUUACAUUACAUGUGUGAUCCGGUGGUGGCUUUUGAGUGUUUCCAACUGGUUUGAGAUAUGCAGUUUCGUGUGGAAUAAGAAGCUAGCUAGGGCCCAGGAGGCAGGCAGGGUUUGCCUGCUUCUGUGGGGUCAUGAUCGUGGUUACUGAGCUUGGGGCCAUGUCUGAGAGAUACUCUUAAGAUGAAGCUUAUAAGAAAGGGUGUCUCUCUUAUGUGUGACUGUGUGGAACCCCCCCACCCUCGCCCAAAAGCACCCAGGAGUCAGUGUGGGUGGCGCAUUCCUAUGGUGGGGGGGCAGGAUAGGUGUAGGUGGCAUUGUGUCAUGGGUGACAAUUUAGUCCUCCAUGUGGGGAAGCCCUGGGGCAGACCCCCCUGCACCCCCGCCAUGCUCCACCUGAGCCUGUCUCCAUCUCCCAGCUUCAGAUUAACCGGGAGUGGAGUCAUGGUGUUGCGUGAGUGUCUUUAUGAGACAAGCAUGUGCCCAAAAAGGGGACUAACAGGCACUUGAACUCAGGAGAAAGCUCCAUCUAGGGACUUGGCAUCAGGGAGAAUUGCCUGGCCUGCUUCAUAGGUUUGGGGCAGCUCUUACCUCCUGUCUUCUUUUGCAAAACCAGAUUUUGUAUACAAUUCUUUUUUUUUUUUGGUCUUUUUGACAUUUCUUGGGCCGCUCCCGCGGCAUAUGGAGGUUCCCAGGCUAGGGGUCGAAUUGGAGCUGCAGCUGCCAGCCUCUGCCACAGCCACAGCCACAGCAACACGGGAUCCAAGCCGCGUCUUCGACCCUCACCACAGCUCAGGGCAACGCCGGACCCUUAACCCACUGAGCAAGGCCAGGGACCGAACCCGCAACCUCAUGGUUCCUAGUCGGCUUCGUUAACCACUGCGCCACGACGGGAACUAUGUAUACCAUUCUUGAAGAGCCUAAUAACCAUAUGCUUAUGUGGUGGAACUUUUCAUUCCCAUUUAUUUCUCAACUGCAUAAGGUAAAGUCCCACUGUAACAAAAAUUAUGAAAAUGGUUCUAUGUAAUAAAAUUGUUUCCAUGGUUCAUAUACAUGUUUUUGUUAUUGUGUUUUGUGGUUUUUCUCAUUUAAAGAAAAAGAGCAACCAGCUAGCUAAUGUGACAAGCACUUUUUCUGGGCCUUGUCCAUGUCAUAGUUCAUCUCGAAACCACAACACUUGAGUGUCUUGCUGUCGAGGCAGGGAGUGGGGAGCUGGGCUGCAGAACCAUCUCCAAGUAGCAUGGCCCCCUUUGCUUUUCUCUCUCUCUUUUUUGUCUUUUUGUCUUUUUAGGGCCGAACCCGCGGCGGCAUAUGGAGGUUCCCAGGCUGGCGGUCCAAUUGGAGCUGUAGCCUCCGGGCUACACCACAGCCACAGCAACGCCAGAUCUGAGCCACAUCUGCAACCUACACCACAGGUUGCGGCAAUGCCAGAUCCUUAACCCACUGAGCGAGGCCAGGGAUUGAACCUGCAACCUCAUGGUUCCUAGUCGGAUUCGUUAACCACUGAGCCAUGACGGGAACUCCCCCUUUGCUUUCUCUUUUAUCUCCAACCUCCCACCCUCCUGUCUGCCCUGGUUGUCUUUAGACAGACCACAGCACAAAACCUGACAAAGGGCAAUAUGUGUGAGUAUCUGAAUGUGAAGGGGUGUGUGUGUGUGUGUCUUGAGUGUGAAUGUGUGGGUGCCAGGGAUGAAUGUGGGAGAGGGUAGGCCUGAGUGUGUGUCAGGCAAAGAGCACGUGAAAGAAAACAAAGGAUAGGAGUUCCCAUCGUGGCUCAGUGGUUAAUGAACCUGACGAGUAUCCAUGAGGACGCGGGUUUGAUCCCUGGCCUUCUUCAGUGGGUUACGGAUCUGGUGUUGCCGUGAGGCGUGGUGUAGAUCACAGACAUGGUUCCGAUCCCGCAUUGCUAUGGCUGUGGUGUAGGCCGGCAGCCACAGCUCCAGUUAGACCCCUAGACUGGGAACCUCCAUAGGCUAAAAAAAAAAAAAAAAAAAAAAAGAAAAAAG